GAUGAACGCUGGCGGCGUGCCUAAUACAUGCAAGUCGAGCGAACAGACGAGGAGCUUGCUCCUCUGACGUUAGCGGCGGACGGGUGAGUAACACGUGGAUAACCUACCUAUAAGACUGGGAUAACUUCGGGAAACCGGAGCUAAUACCGGAUAAUAUAUUGAACCGCAUGGUUCAAUAGUGAAAGACGGUUUUGCUGUCACUUAUAGAUGGAUCCGCGCCGCAUUAGCUAGUUGGUAAGGUAACGGCUUACCAAGGCAACGAUGCGUAGCCGACCUGAGAGGGUGUUGGGCCCCACUGGAACUGAACCCCGGCCCAGACUCCUACGGGAGGCAGCAGUAGGGAAUCUUCCGCAAUGGGGGAAAGCUUGACGGAGCAACGCCGCGUGGGUGAUGAAGGUCUUCGGAUCGUAAAACUCUGUUAUUAGGGAAGAACAAAUGUGUAAGUAACUAUGCACGUCUGGAGGGAACCUAAUAAGAAGGCCACGGCUAACUACGU
This 496-nucleotide ribosomal RNA is filed under the name uncultured bacterium. Its description in RNAcentral is "partial 16S ribosomal RNA". It matches the Rfam family "Bacterial small subunit ribosomal RNA", at positions 28 to 506 of the family's 1533-position model. The record is from RNAcentral.